Long non-coding RNA from Rhinolophus ferrumequinum (greater horseshoe bat), 1869 nucleotides. RefSeq lists it as uncharacterized. Lineage: Eukaryota; Metazoa; Chordata; Mammalia; Chiroptera; Rhinolophidae. The transcript has 3 exons. The record is from RefSeq and is a predicted model, not a curated record.
GAUGUCCAUCCUCAGGCACACAGUGGUGCUGGGGAGAGAUCUAUGAAUUGAGCAUCAGCAAGAGCCUCGUGUACGGAAGUGUGGGGGUCCUGCUGGUACUGCUGGCGGUGGUGUGGGUUGUCCUGACUGUCUUCUUUAGCCCAUCCCAGAGGAAACUGCACAGGUAAGCUCUGGGGCCAGGCCCAAGUCUCUGCUCCUACUAGCUCAGCAGUGAGACAUCAGCCAAGGUCCAGAAGGAACACGGCCCCUCCCAGCUCUGGGUACAACAAAGGGCAGCUACUGGCCCAUUUGACAGAGAAAUGGAAUCUAAUAUUUAUGUGCUGACACUGGAUGAUGUAAUGAAAUUAUAUGGCGUUUGUAAGCACCUUGGCUGCCACAGAGCAACAGCUACACUAGCACACUGGGAAAGCACUAUCUGGUGUCAUUUUUCCCAGCUGGAAAAUGGAUAAGACCCACCUGAGAAGGUUGCCAUGAAAUGCUGCCCAGCACAGGCCCUUGCCAGCAGUUGGCAAAGGGAGCCACUCUGACUCUAGUCCAAUGUCCCCAUCUCACAGAUAAGGAAUCUGGGGCCCACUGAGGGAAGUGAAGCGGGGGCAAGCCAUGGUGAAGUCCCCAGGCAUGCUCUUUGUUUUGGGCAGCCCCUCCCUGAUUCAGGGCUUGGCCAUGGGUAGCCCCUUCUGGAAGCCGAGUGUCAGGGCUCGCUGAGCCCCCUCCUCUGCCUCCCUGCCGCCAGCUGCUCACUGUAUUUCUAUUGGCAGGCAAAAGUAUAACGUGUCUUGCGAGUGGCAAAGAGAAACCAUCCCUGGCAGUUUCCAGAACACAGGCAUCUGGGAAGGUACCUCUUGUCUGGGGCAAGGGUGGGGGCAAAGCUGGAGAGUGGAGAAAGGCCAAGAAGGCACCGUGGGCAGACCUGGUGUGGCUUGGGUGACGUGCGUCCUGCCCACCUAUCCCACAUCUGCUACAACAGCCAGCUCCUCUGCAGCCUCCUGACCUUGUGUCCCCAUGGGCAGCCGCGGAUGACCUCCAGUCAUUUCUCAGCUCCUCCAGUCCAUGGACAGCCCACACCUACCAUUUUCCCUCUGCCACACCUUUGUGCUACUGUACCACUCACUGUCUGGACCCCCGAACCCCACUCUGUUUUUGAGAUCAGCUUCAAACGCUGCCCCUCCAUGGCCUCCCAUGUGUUCAGCCUCCUCUGGUUCCUAGACUCCCUCGUGGACCCAGGCUCAGCUGCUGUGGAAAACCAUCAUGUCACGUCUCCAACCCUAUCCCCGCCCCUGAGCAAAUCCUGCCUCCCCAGUUCUUCCUGAAAAACACUAUGGAAGGGCUGCAGGGAGGGCUGAGAGCUGGUUCCUGCCCUGGGAGACCACCCCGCUGAGGGCAUCAGACAUACACAGUGAGUAGGAUAACAGGACCAUGCCUGGAAGUCUGCCCAAUCCACCUGGGAAGAGAGGAUGUUGCCUGAUUCUCUGAUUCAUUGUGGACCUGGGGCAGUGCUGCCUAAGAGCUGAUCAGAAUCUGAAGAAGGACAAAUUCAGCCUUGAAAAUGCCUAGAGCCACUUCCAGCCCUCCCGAGGACGUUGACCCCACUACAGAGGUCCAUUCAGAGGCUCAGGGUGGUGACAGCUGCUCAGUCAGUGGGACAAAGGCUCCCAGUCUUCAUCCAGAUCUGACAAGAGAGUGGCAGACAGAGAGCCCACACAGGUCAAGAGGAAACAGAUGUCAGGGCCCGAGGUGGUCAGCUCAGACCUGCUGGAUUUGGCCUGGCCCCUGCUGCGAGCCCUUCUCUGCUCUCCCCUGCCCUCCAUCCAAGAGGACCAAGGCUGCCCAGACAUCUUGCUCCCUCCCUGGUGACUCCCCACUGUGGAC